This 520-nucleotide ribosomal RNA is filed under the name uncultured Glomus. Its description in RNAcentral is "SSU rRNA". It matches the Rfam family "Eukaryotic small subunit ribosomal RNA", at positions 569 to 1092 of the family's 1831-position model. Lineage: Eukaryota; Fungi; Glomeromycota; Glomeromycetes; Glomerales; Glomeraceae. The record is from RNAcentral.
AGCAGCCGCGGUAAUUCCAGCUCCAAUAGCGUAUAUUAAAGUUGUUGCAGUUAAAAAGCUCGUAGUUGAAUUUCGGGGUUAGUAAGUUGGUCAUGCCUUCGGUAUGUACUGGCUUUACUGAUUCCUCCUUCUUGACGAACCGUGAUGUCAUUAAUUUGGUGUUGCGGGAAAUCAGGACUGUUACUUUGAAAAAAUUAGAGUGUUUAAAGCAGGCUAACGCUUGAAUACAUUAGCAUGGAAUAAUGAAAUAGGACGUUAAUCCUAUUUUGUUGGUUUCUAGGAUCGACGUAAUGAUUAAUAGGGAUAGUUGGGGGCAUUAGUAUUCAAUUGUCAGAGGUGAAAUUCUUGGAUUUAUUGAAGACUAACUACUGCGAAAGCAUUUGCCAAGGAUGUUUUCAUUAAUCAAGAACGAAAGUUAGGGGAUCGAAGACGAUCAGAUACCGUCGUAGUCUUAACCAUAAACUAUGCCGACUAGGGAUCGGAUGAUGUUAUUUUUAAUGACUCAUUUCGGCGCCUUACG